Molecule: ribosomal RNA, 1290 nt
Filed under: Staphylococcus pseudintermedius
Lineage: Bacteria; Bacillati; Bacillota; Bacilli; Caryophanales; Staphylococcaceae
Description: partial 23S ribosomal RNA
Rfam family: Bacterial large subunit ribosomal RNA
Source: RNAcentral
UUAGGCAAAUCCGGCACUCUUAAGAUUGAGCUGUGAUGGGGAGAGGAACUUGUUCCUCGAGUCGUUGAUUUCACACUGCCGAGAAAAGCCUCUAGCUAGAAUAACGGUGCCCGUACCGCAAACCGACACAGGUAGUCAAGAUGAGAAUUCUAAGGUGAGCGAGCGAACUCUCGUUAAGGAACUCGGCAAAAUGACCCCGUAACUUCGGGAGAAGGGGUGCUCUUUGAGGUUCACGCUUCGAAGAGCCGCAGUGAAUAGGCCCAAGCGACUGUUUAUCAAAAACACAGGUCUCUGCUAAACCGUAAGGUGACGUAUAGGGGCUGACGCCUGCCCGGUGCUGGAAGGUUAAGAGGAGUGGUUAGCGCAAGCGAAGCUACGAAUCGAAGCCCCAGUAAACGGCGGCCGUAACUAUAACGGUCCUAAGGUAGCGAAAUUCCUUGUCGGGUAAGUUCCGACCCGCACGAAAGGCGUAACGAUUUGGGCACUGUCUCAACGAGAGACUCGGUGAAAUCAUAGUACCGGUGAAGAUGCCGGUUACCCGCGACAGGACGGAAAGACCCCGUGGAGCUUUACUGUAGCCUGAUAUUGAAAUUCGGUACAGUUUGUACAGGAUAGGUAGGAGCCUUAGAAGCGUGAGCGCUAGCUUACGUGGAGGCAUUGGUGGGAUACUACCCUAAUUGUAUUGGAUUUCUAACCCGCAGCACUUAUCGUGCUGGGAGACAGUGUCAGGCGGGCAGUUUGACUGGGGCGGUCGCCUCCUAAAGAGUAACGGAGGCGCUCAAAGGUUCCCUCAGAAUGGUUGGAAAUCAUUCAUAGAGUGUAAAGGCAUAAGGGAGCUUGACUGCGAGACCUACAAGUCGAGCAGGGUCGAAAGACGGACUUAGUGAUCCGGUGGUUCCGCAUGGAAGGGCCAUCGCUCAACGGAUAAAAGCUACCCCGGGGAUAACAGGCUUAUCUCCCCCAAGAGUUCACAUCGACGGGGAGGUUUGGCACCUCGAUGUCGGCUCAUCGCAUCCUGGGGCUGUAGUCGGUCCCAAGGGUUGGGCUGUUCGCCCAUUAAAGCGGUACGCGAGCUGGGUUCAGAACGUCGUGAGACAGUUCGGUCCCUAUCCGUCGUGGGCGUAGGAAAUUUGAGAGGAGCUGUCCUUAGUACGAGAGGACCGGGAUGGACAUACCUCUGGUGUACCAGUUGUCGUGCCAACGGCAUAGCUGGGUAGCUAUGUAUGGACGGGAUAAGUGCUGAAAGCAUCUAAGCAUGAAGCCCCCCUCGAGAUGAGAUUUCCCAACUUC